Long non-coding RNA from Macrobrachium nipponense, 530 nucleotides. RefSeq lists it as uncharacterized. The transcript is spliced from 2 exons. Lineage: Eukaryota; Metazoa; Arthropoda; Malacostraca; Decapoda; Palaemonidae. The record is from RefSeq and is a predicted model, not a curated record.
GCGGCGGCUAGCGAGCGAUUUCAACAUACUGAAACGUCUUGAACUCCUGCGCCGGAGUGUGCUGAUAUUUUGUGAAUUCCCCCAGUUAUCACAAUGGUUUCUUCAUUUGAACGACGCUUGCGUUUGGAUAACAAGUGAUACUGGAGAUCUAAGUGAUAUAUUAUAUAGGCGCAAAACGACUCUGUUCAUCUGGAAAUAAGGUAAUCCUCACCACUGACAGAUGCCACUCAUCCAGUAAAUCAACCCUGGGUGAAGAGUCGGCUGGAAUAGGCCAAUAUUAAAUGUAGGCCUUCUAAUUGUGAACAUUACAACGAAAGGUUUCGGAAUGCUCCCCCUGCCUCUGUUUCUCCCGACUCCCCGGGGUGUACGACAAAAGAUCAUCAGUUCUAGUUUUCAAGAAUCCUUAGUUAUUGACAGAAUUGUAUGAUUGUAGUGGUAUGCUUAUUGAACAAAUAAGUGUACGUAUGCGCGCGCGCGCGAGCAUGUGGGUAUAUUUUAUAUAUAUAUAUAUUAACAUUGUAUGAAGUCUU